Molecule: ribosomal RNA, 467 nt
Filed under: uncultured bacterium
Lineage: Bacteria
Description: partial 16S ribosomal RNA
Rfam family: Bacterial small subunit ribosomal RNA
Source: RNAcentral
GACGAACGCUGGCGGCGUGCUUAACACAUGCAAGUCGAACGGAAAGGCCUCUUUCGGGGGGUACUCGAGUGGCGAACGGGUGAGUAACACGUGAGUAACCUGCCCUUGACUUUGGGAUAACUUCAGGAAACUGGGGCUAAUACCGGAUAGGAGCUCCUGCUGCAUGGUGGGGGUUGGAAAGUUUCGGCGGUUGGGGAUGGACUCGCGGCUUAUCAGCUUGUUGGUGGGGUAGUGGCUUACCAAGGCUUUGACGGGUAGCCGGCCUGAGAGGGUGACCGGCCACAUUGGGACUGAGAUACGGCCCAGACUCCUACGGGUGGCAGCAGUGGGGAAUAUUGCACAAUGGGUGGAAGCCUGAUGCAGCAACGCCGUGUGCGGGAUGGCGGCCUUCGGGUUGUAAACCGCUUUCGCUCAUGCCGAAGCUUUGUGUGACGGUAGUGGGUAAAGAAGCACCGGCUAACUACGUG